GACGAACGCUGGCGGCGUGCUUAACACAUGCAAGUCGAACGGAAAGGCCCUGCUUUUGUGGGGUGCUCGAGUGGCGAACGGGUGAGUAACAUGUGAGUAACCUGACCUUGACUUUGGGAUAACUUCAGGAAAUUGGGGCUAAUCCCGGAUAGGAGCUCCUGCUGCAUGGUGGGGGUUGGAAAGUUUCGGCGGUUGGGGAUGGACUCGCGGCGUAUCAGCUUGUUGGUGGGGUAGUGGCUUACCCAGGCUUUGACGGGUAGCCGGCCUGAGAGGGUGACCGGCAACGUUGGGACUGAGAUACGAGCCAGACGCCGACGGGAGGGAGCAGUGGGGGAAAUUGCACAAUGGGCGGAAGCCUGAUGCGACAGCGCCGCGUGCGGGAUGACGCCCUUCCGGUUGUAAAGCGCUUUCGCCUGUGACGAGGGGGGGGUGACGGUAAUGGGUAAAGAAGCACCGGCUAACUACGUG
Molecule: ribosomal RNA, 468 nt
Filed under: uncultured bacterium
Lineage: Bacteria
Description: partial 16S ribosomal RNA
Rfam family: Bacterial small subunit ribosomal RNA
Source: RNAcentral